UGCGUAGGCGGUUCGCUAAGUUGGAUGUGAAAACUCUGGGCUCAACCCAGAGCCUGCAUCCAAGACUGGCAGACUAGAGUUCUGGAGGGGGUAGCGGAAUUCCUGGUGUAGCGGUGAAAUGCGUAGAUAUCAGGAGGAACACCGGUGGCGAAGGCGGCUACCUGGACAGAGUCUGACGCUGAGGCACGAAAGCUAGGGGAGCAAACAGGAUUAGGUACCCUGGUAGUCCUAGCCCUAAACGAUGGAUACUUGGUGUAACUGGGAUUGAAUCCAGUUGUGCCGAAGCUAACGCAUUAAGUACUCCCGCCGUGGGGAGUACGGUCGCAAGGCUAGAA
RNAcentral lists this ribosomal RNA (335 nucleotides) under uncultured bacterium. RNAcentral describes it as "bacterial SSU rRNA". It matches the Rfam family "Bacterial small subunit ribosomal RNA", at positions 568 to 899 of the family's 1533-position model. The record is from RNAcentral.